UUAAGUUCAGCGGGUAGUCCCGCCUGAUUUGAGGUCAAGUUUCGAUGAAGUUGUCUUUCGACGGUUGGAAGCAGGUCCCCCACAAUCGCGGUGCACCCACGGCGUAGACAAUUAUCACACCGGGGGCGGCACCACAAGGGUCUCGCUAAUGCAUUUGAGAGGAGCCGAUCCGCGAGGACCAGCAAAGCCCCCAAGUCCAA
This 200-nucleotide unclassified non-coding RNA is filed under the name Russulales sp. Its description in RNAcentral is "partial internal transcribed spacer 2". Lineage: Eukaryota; Fungi; Basidiomycota; Agaricomycetes; Russulales. The record is from RNAcentral.